RNAcentral lists this ribosomal RNA (403 nucleotides) under uncultured bacterium. RNAcentral describes it as "partial 16S ribosomal RNA". It matches the Rfam family "Bacterial small subunit ribosomal RNA", at positions 28 to 526 of the family's 1533-position model. The record is from RNAcentral.
GACGAACGCUGGCGGCGUGCCUAAUACAUGCAAGUCGAACGCAGUGGGGACGGGUGAGUAACACGUUGGUAACCUCCCAUCAGAGGGGAUAACACUUGGAAACAGGUGCUAAACCGAUACUGAUGGAUGGACCCGCGGGGCAUUAGCUAGUUGGUGAGGUAACGGCUCACCAAGGCCACGAUGCAUAGGCGACCUGAGAGGGGGAAGGGCGAAAGUGGGACGGAGACACGGCCCAGAAUCCUACGGGAGGCAGCAGUAGGGAAGCGGCGGAAAGGGACGAAAGGCUGACCGAGCAACGACGCGUGAGUGAAGAAGGUAUUCGGAGCGUAAAACUCUGUUGUUAGAGAAGCGGUAUCUAACCAGAAAGCCACGGCUAACUACGUGCCAGCAGCCGCGGUAAUUC